UUCUAAUAUGGCAGAUUAGUGUAAUGAAUUUAAGCUUCAUAAAUAAAGAAUUUAUCUUUUAUUAGA
RNAcentral lists this transfer RNA (66 nucleotides) under Lebiini sp. 2 ACP-2013. RNAcentral describes it as "tRNA-Leu". The record is from RNAcentral. Lineage: Eukaryota; Metazoa; Arthropoda; Insecta; Coleoptera; Carabidae.